Molecule: long non-coding RNA, 620 nt
Organism: Catharus ustulatus (Swainson's thrush)
Lineage: Eukaryota; Metazoa; Chordata; Aves; Passeriformes; Turdidae
Exons: 3
Source: RefSeq, a predicted model, not a curated record
UCUUGGUGUUGCUGCGAGACAGAAUUGCAGAAUUUGACCUGAGGUAAUCAGGAUUUUGUCUUUGAGGUUUUGCUGUCAAGUUUUCAGAUCAGACCCUUGGGCAAAGUUGUAAGAGUACUGAGCAACAGAAAGGAUCCUGUCCCGUCCUGCACCCCUUACUCAUUGUUCAUAUACCUAUUGCUCAGGGUCCUGAGCACCUUAUUAACCAGGAGGCAUCACCACUGAAGAACCACACGGUCCUGCUGAGCACAAGCCCCUGCUGGGUGCAUAUGCUGCACUCACACCUUGAGAUUCCACCCAAAAAAACCUGAGGAAAAUAGCAGCAAUAGCAGCCAAACAAGAGGAAUGCUAGAAACCAUUGUCUGCAAGGACACUGAGGCUGUCUCAGUUCUGCUUUGGAGUUCUGCUCGUUAGAACACACCCAUGGGAAGGACCAAACUCUUUUCCCCUGCUUUUCCCUGUGUGCCUGGCAUGUACACCUCUAGGCUCAGCUUUGGUGCUGCCUUCUUCAAUCUUUAGAACAGCAUGCUCUGAAGCACAACUUGUUAUUAGUCAGAUGGGAAAGAGAUGGGACCAGAUUCCCUAAUUAUUUUAAAUGGCCUUUCCUGGUACACUGCAGA